Molecule: ribosomal RNA, 253 nt
Filed under: uncultured bacterium
Lineage: Bacteria
Description: partial 16S ribosomal RNA
Rfam family: Bacterial small subunit ribosomal RNA
Source: RNAcentral
UACAGAGGUCCCAAGCGUUGUUCGGAUUCAUUGGGCGUAAAGGGUGCGUAGGCGGCGCGGUAAGUCGGGUGUGAAAUCUCGGGGCUUAACUCCGAAACUGCAUUCGAUACUGCCGUGCUUGAGGACUGGAGAGGAGACUGGAAUUUAUGGUGUAGCGGUGAAAUGCGUAGAUAUCGUAAGGAAGACCAGUGGCGAAGGCGGGUCUCUGGACAGUUCCUGACGCUGAGGCACGAAGGCCAGGGGAGCAAACGGG